GAUAAAAUUGAGAAUGGAAAUGGGGAAUGUGUCAAAGAGACAACAACCCGACCAAAUAAAAAACAACAGCAGAGGGUCACCAACUAGGUCUUCAAUGUAGCGAGAAAUUCCCGCACCCGGAGGCGUCCUUCAGCUGACCCCUAAACAAAUAUAUACUAGUCCAGUGAUAAUGAACGCCAUACUAAUUUCCAAAUUGUACACAAGAAAAUAAAAUUAAAAUAAUACAAGACUAACAAAGGCCAGAGGCUCCUGACUUG
RNAcentral lists this long non-coding RNA (257 nucleotides) under Mytilus galloprovincialis (Mediterranean mussel). The record is from RNAcentral. Lineage: Eukaryota; Metazoa; Mollusca; Bivalvia; Mytilida; Mytilidae.